This 256-nucleotide unclassified non-coding RNA is filed under the name uncultured fungus. Its description in RNAcentral is "partial contains 5.8S ribosomal RNA, internal transcribed spacer 2, and large subunit ribosomal RNA". The record is from RNAcentral. Lineage: Eukaryota; Fungi.
AACGCACAUUGCGCCCUUUGGCAUUCCGAGGGGCAUGCCCGUUCGAGCGUCAUUAAAUCCACUCAAGCCUGGCUUGGUAUUGGGUGACGGGGACUCCCCGCGCCCCCAUUUCGCCGGCCGGCCGUCGUUUGACUUAGCGUUGUGACACAUGUCGCUGACGACGAAGACGGACCACGCCGUUAAACCCCCUUGAAUGUUUAUUCAACAUUCAGUAAAGGUUGACCUCGGAUCGGGUAGGAAUACCCGCUGAACUUAA